This 465-nucleotide ribosomal RNA is filed under the name uncultured bacterium. RNAcentral's name for it is "partial 16S ribosomal RNA". It matches the Rfam family "Bacterial small subunit ribosomal RNA", at positions 338 to 795 of the family's 1533-position model. The record is from RNAcentral.
CCUACGGGAGGCAGCAGUAGGGAAUCUUCCACAAUGGGCGAAAGCCUGAUGGAGCAACGCCGCGUGGGUGAAGAAGGUCUUCGGAUCGUAAAACCCUGUUGUUAGAGAAGAAAGUGCGUGAGAGUAACUGUUCACGUGUCGACGGUAUCUAACCAGAAAGCCACGGCUAACUACGUGCCAGCAGCCGCGGUAAUACGUAGGUGGCAAGCGUUAACCUGAUUUAUUGGGCGUAAAGGGAGCGCAGGCGGUCUUUUAAGUCUGAUGUGAAAGCCUUCGGCUUAACCGGAGUAGUGCAUUGUAAACUGGGAGACCUGAGUGCAGCAGAGGAAAGUGGAACUCCAUGUGUAGCGGUGAAAUGCGUAGAUAUAUGGAAGAACACCAGUGGCGAAGGCGGCUCUCUGGUCUGUAACUGACGCUGAGGUUCGAAAGCGUGGGUAGCAAACAGGAUUAGAUACCCGAGUAGUC